GAUGAACGCUGGCGGCGUGCCUAAUACAUGCAAGUCGAGCGAACGGACGAGAAGCUUGCUUCUCUGAUGUUAGCGGCGGACGGGUGAGUAACACGUGGAUAACCUACCUAUAAGACUGGGAUAACUUCGGGAAACCGGAGCUAAUACCGGAUAAUAUUUUGAACCGCAUGGUUCAAAAGUGAAAGACGGUCUUGCUGUCACUUAUAGAUGGAUCCGCGCUGCAUUAGCUAGUUGGUAAGGUAACGGCUUACCAAGGCAACGAUGCAUAGCCGACCUGAGAGGGUGAUCGGCCACACUGGAACUGAGACACGGUCCAGACUCCUACGGGAGGCAGCAGUAGGGAAUCUUACGCAAUGGGCGAAAGCCUGACGGAGCAACGCCGCGUGAGUGAUGAAGGUCUUCGGAUCGUAAAACUCUGUUAUUAGGGAAGAACAGAUGUGUAAGGAACUGUGCACAUCUUGACGGUACCUAAUCAGAAAGCCACGGCUAACUACGUG
Molecule: ribosomal RNA, 497 nt
Filed under: uncultured bacterium
Lineage: Bacteria
Description: partial 16S ribosomal RNA
Rfam family: Bacterial small subunit ribosomal RNA
Source: RNAcentral